AAUAAGUUAUAUAUAUAUAUAUAUAUAUAUAAUAAUAUUGAUAAUAAAAUUAAUUAUUAUUAUUAUUAUAUAUAUACAUAUAUAACUUACU
Molecule: microRNA precursor, 91 nt
Filed under: Cajanus cajan (pigeon pea)
Lineage: Eukaryota; Viridiplantae; Streptophyta; Magnoliopsida; Fabales; Fabaceae
Description: miRNA gene-KK1_050380
Source: RNAcentral